GAAGCAAAAGAAUGAAUUAAAGAAAACUCCAGAGAAUGAGCUGACAACCUACUCCCUGGUCAGUGGCUCUCCAUGCCUACCUGUGGUCUCUUGGACACCCUUGCAGAAGAUGACUUCCUGGGAACUCUUCUGGGAGUGAAUGUUAUCAGCAAAUUCCCAAAACAACACCCCUUAGACAAAAAGCCUCCUCACCUAUGCAUUGCCUAGACCACCCACUAAAGAUGGUGACCAUGGAGGAAGACUUGUGUUGGGCCCAAUGGCCCUCGGCCAGUGUCCGUCUGCCAGGUGCCAGCCCCCGGUGCGCUGAAGCUCAGGCCAUUCCUGAUGCCCUGGCCUCCUGCACUGAGCUGUGUGAGCUCUUCUGCCCAGGCAGGCCCCCUGGCAUUGACCGGCAUAGACAGUGAGCCUGGAGGAAGACUUGCCCUGGUCCCACUGUCCCUGGGCCAGUGUCCAUCAGCCAGGUGCCCAGACCCCAGUGCGCUGAAGCUCAGCCCUCCCUGGCACUCUGGUCUCCUGCACUGAGCUGUGUGAGCUCUUCCGCCCAUGAGGGCCCCCUGGCCUUGAGCAGCAUAGGUCCCUCCGUUUGGGGUCCCUGACUUCCCUCAACACUGGUCUCUUCCACUGAGCCUUG
Molecule: long non-coding RNA, 631 nt
Filed under: Homo sapiens (human)
Lineage: Eukaryota; Metazoa; Chordata; Mammalia; Primates; Hominidae
Description: non-protein coding lnc-SNRPN-8:145
Source: RNAcentral